CUACGGGUCGCUGUAGUGAGGAAUAUUGCACAAUGGGGGGAACCCUGAUGCAGCAACGCCGCGUGGAGGAUGACGCAUUUCGGUGUGUAAACUCCUUUUAUAUGUCAAGAAAAUGACGGUAGCAUAUGAAUAAGCACCGGCUAACUCCGUGCCAGCAGCCGCGGUAAUACGGAGGGUGCAAGCGUUACUCGGAAUCACUGGGCGUAAAGGACGCGUAGGCGGGUUGGAAAGUCAGUUGUGAAAUCCUACAGCUUAACUGUAGAACUGCACUUGAAACUUCUAAUCUAGAGAUGGGAGGGGGAGAUGGAAUUAGUGGUGUAGGGGUAAAAUCCGUAGAUAUCACUAGGAAUACCUAAAGCGAAGGCGAUCUCCUGGAACAUUACUGACGCUAAGGCGUGAAAGCGUGGGGAGCAAACAGGAUUAGAUACCCUCGUAGUC
This 438-nucleotide ribosomal RNA is filed under the name uncultured bacterium. Its description in RNAcentral is "partial 16S ribosomal RNA". It matches the Rfam family "Bacterial small subunit ribosomal RNA", at positions 339 to 795 of the family's 1533-position model. The record is from RNAcentral.